UCGUAACAAGGUUUCCGUAGGUGAACCUGCGGAAGGAUCAUUACCGAGUGAGGGCCCUUUGGGUCCAACCUCCCACCCGUGUUUAUUUUACCUUGUUGCUUCGGCGGGCCCGCCUUUACUGGCCGCCGGGGGGCUCACGCCCCCGGGUCCGCGCCCGCCGAAGACACCCUCGAACUCUGUCUGAAGAUUGAAGUCUGAGUGAAAAUAUAAAUUAUUUAAAACUUUCAACAACGGAUCUCUUGGUUCCGGCAUCGAUGAAGAACGCAGCGAAAUGCGAUACGUAAUGUGAAUUGCAAAUUCAGUGAAUCAUCGAGUCUUUGAACGCACAUUGCGCCCCCUGGUAUUCCGGGGGGCAUGCCUGUCCGAGCGUCAUUGCUGCCCUCAAGCCCGGCUUGUGUGUUGGGCCCCGUCCUCCGAUUCCGGGGGACGGGCCCGAAAGGCAGCGGCGGCACCGCGUCCGGUCCUCGAGCGUAUGGGGCUUUGUCACCCGCUCCGUAGGCCCGGCCGGCGCUUGCCGAUCAACCCAAAU
This 529-nucleotide unclassified non-coding RNA is filed under the name Penicillium freii. Its description in RNAcentral is "sequence contains 18S rRNA gene, ITS1, 5.8S rRNA gene, ITS2, 28S rRNA gene". The stretch from base 220 to 372 matches the Rfam family "5.8S ribosomal RNA". The record is from RNAcentral. Lineage: Eukaryota; Fungi; Ascomycota; Eurotiomycetes; Eurotiales; Aspergillaceae.